UGCUAUUAUUGAUAUGUACUGGGCUGAGUAGUUUGUUUUCUGCAGUUAUUGAUGGAAAUGCAGCCUAGAAAGCUAUAUCUGACCU
Cornus florida is the source of this 85-nucleotide small nucleolar RNA. NCBI's taxonomy places the organism in Eukaryota, Viridiplantae, Streptophyta, Magnoliopsida, Cornales, Cornaceae. The record is from RefSeq and is a predicted model, not a curated record.